UGGGGAAUAUUGCGCAAUGGGGGCAACCCUGACGCAGCCAUGCCGCGUGAAUGAAGAAGGCCUUCGGGUUGUAAAGUUCUUUCGGUGACGAGGAAGGCGUGAUGUUUAAUAGGCAUCACGAUUGACGUUAAUCACAGAAGAAGCACCGGCUAACUCCGUGCCAGCAGCCGCGGUGAUACGGAGGGUGCGAGCGUUAAUCGGAAUAACUGGGCGUAAAGGGCACGCAGGCGGCUAUUUAAGUGAGGUGUGAAAUCCCCGGGCUUAACCUGGGAAUUGCAUUUCAGACUGGGUAGCUAGAGUACUUUAGGGAGGGGUAGAAUUCCACGUGUAGCGGUGAAAUGCGUAGAGAUGUGGAGGAAUACCGAAGGCGAAGGCAGCCCCUUGGGAAUGUACUGACGCUCAUGUGCGAAAGCGUGGGGAGCAAACAGGAUUAGAUACCCUGGUAGUCCACGCUGUAAACGCUGUCGAUUUGGGGAUUGGGCCUUGAGCUUGGUGCCCGAAGCUAACGUGAUAAAUCGACCGCCUGGGGAGUACGGCCGCAAGGUUA
RNAcentral lists this ribosomal RNA (547 nucleotides) under uncultured bacterium. Its description in RNAcentral is "bacterial SSU rRNA". It matches the Rfam family "Bacterial small subunit ribosomal RNA", at positions 355 to 896 of the family's 1533-position model. The record is from RNAcentral.